UACGUAGGGCGCGAGCGUUGUCCGGAUUUAUUGGGCGUAAAGAGCUCGUAGGCGGUUUGUCGCGUCUUCCGUGAAAACUGGGGGCUUAACUUCCAGCUUGCGGUGGAUACGGGCUGACUGGAGUGCGGCAGGGGAGACUGGAAUUCCUGGUGUAGCGGUGAAAUGCGCAGAUAUCAGGAGGAACACCGGUGGCGAAGGCGGGUCUCUGGGCCGUUACUGACGCUGAGGAGCGAAAGCGUGGGGAGCGAACAGG
This 253-nucleotide ribosomal RNA is filed under the name uncultured bacterium. RNAcentral's name for it is "partial 16S ribosomal RNA". It matches the Rfam family "Bacterial small subunit ribosomal RNA", at positions 524 to 776 of the family's 1533-position model. The record is from RNAcentral.